This 492-nucleotide ribosomal RNA is filed under the name uncultured bacterium. RNAcentral describes it as "partial 16S ribosomal RNA". It matches the Rfam family "Bacterial small subunit ribosomal RNA", at positions 30 to 507 of the family's 1533-position model. The record is from RNAcentral.
AUUGAACGCUGGCGGCAUGCUUUACACAUGCAAGUCGAACGGUAACAGGCCUUCGGGUGCUGAUGAGUGGCGAACGGGUGAGUAAUGCAUCGGAACGUACCCAGAGGUGGGGGAUAACGCAGCGAAAGCUGUGCUAAUACCGCAUGUGAUCUGAGGAUGAAAGCGGGGGACCGAGCAGCAAUGUUUGGCCUCGCGCCUUUGGAGCGGCCGAUGUCGGAUUAGCUAGUUGGUGGGGUAAAGGCCUACCAAGGCGACGAUCCGUAGCUGGUCUGAGAGGACGACCAGCCACACUGGGACUGAGACACGGCCCAGACUCCUACGGGAGGCAGCAGUGGGGAAUUUUGGACAAUGGGCGCAAGCCUGAUCCAGCAAUGCCGCGUGCGGGAAGAAGGCCUUCGGGUUGUAAACCGCUUUUGGCAGGAACGAAACGGUGUCCGCUAAUACCGGGCGCUAAUGACGGUACCUGCAGAAUAAGCACCGGCUAACUACGUG